UAGGGAAUCUUGCGCAAUGGGCGAAAGCCUGACGCAGCCAUGCCGCGUGAAUGAUGAAGGUCUUAGGAUUGUAAAAUUCUUUCACCGGGGAAGAUAAUGACGGUACCCGGAGAAGAAGCCCCGGCUAACUUCGUGCCAGCAGCCGCGGUAAUACGAAGGGGGCUAGCGUUGCUCGGAAUUACUGGGCGUAAAGGGCGCGUAGGCGGACAUUUUAGUCAGAGGUGAAAGCCCAGGGCUCAACCUUGGAAUUGCCUUUGAUACUGGAUGUCUUGAGUUCGGGAGAGGUGAGUGGAAUGCCGAGUGUAGAGGUGAAAUUCGUAGAUAUUCGGCGGAACACCAGUGGCGAAGGCGACUCACUGGCCCGAUACUGACGCUGAGGCGCGAAAGCGUGGGGAGCAAACAGGAUUAGAUACCCUGGUAGUCCACGCUGUAAACGAUGAGUGCUAGUUGUCGGCAUGCAUGCAUGUCGGUGACGCAG
Molecule: ribosomal RNA, 478 nt
Filed under: uncultured Pseudomonadota bacterium
Lineage: Bacteria; Pseudomonadati; Pseudomonadota
Description: bacterial SSU rRNA
Rfam family: Bacterial small subunit ribosomal RNA
Source: RNAcentral